This 199-nucleotide long non-coding RNA is filed under the name Elaeis guineensis (African oil palm). Its description in RNAcentral is "long non-coding RNA (EGUI_LNC053940)". The record is from RNAcentral. Lineage: Eukaryota; Viridiplantae; Streptophyta; Magnoliopsida; Arecales; Arecaceae.
GUGCUCACCCAAAGAGAGAAGACUCUCCUAUCUUUUUUUUCAUGCCAUGAACCAUGCCCAAACCCCUUCACUAUGGAGAACUCUUUCUCUUCUAUCUUACACACACAAAAUAAAAAAUAGAUCUCUUUUAUUUUAGCAUGCAAGAAGCAAGUGUGUUAAGAGUCAUAGGGAUGUUGGACUCUAUCAAGUUAUCGCCUCC